GUGGGGAAUUUUGGACAAUGGGGGCAACCCUGAUCCAGCAAUGCCGCGUGCAGGAAGAAGGCCUUCGGGUUGUAAACUGCUUUUGUACGGAACGAAACGGUCCUGGUUAAUACCUGGGGCUCAUGACGGUACCGUAAGAAUAAGCACCGGCUAACUACGUGCCAGCAGCCGCGGUAAUACGUAGGGUGCAAGCGUUAAUCGGAAUUACUGGGCGUAAAGCGUGCGCAGGCGGUUUUGUAAGACAGACGUGAAAUCCCCGGGCUCAACCUGGGAAUGGCGUUUGUGACUGCAAAGCUGGAGUGCGGCAGAGGGGGAUGGAAUUCCGCGUGUAGCAGUGAAAUGCGUAGAUAUGCGGAGGAACACCGAUGGCGAAGGCAAUCCCCUGGGCCUGCACUGACGCUCAUGCACGAAAGCGUGGGGAGCAAACAGGAUUAGAAACCCGGGUAGUCC
This 450-nucleotide ribosomal RNA is filed under the name uncultured bacterium. Its description in RNAcentral is "partial 16S ribosomal RNA". It matches the Rfam family "Bacterial small subunit ribosomal RNA", at positions 354 to 796 of the family's 1533-position model. The record is from RNAcentral.